GGGGAAUAUUGCACAAUGGGGGAAACCCUGAUGCAGCGACGCCGCGUGGAGGAAGAAGGUCUUCGGAUUGUAAACUCCUGUUGUUGAGGAAGAUAAUGACGGUACUCAACAAGGAAGUGACGGCUAACUACGUGCCAGCAGCCGCGGUAAAACGUAGGUCACAAGCGUUGUCCGGAAUUACUGGGUGUAAAGGGAGCGCAGGUGGGAAGACAAGUUGGAAGUGAAAUCCAUGGGCUCAACCCAUGAACUGCUUUCAAAACUGUUUUUCUUGAGUAGUGCAGAGGUAGGCGGAAUUCCCGGUGUAGCGGUGGAAUGCGUAGAUAUCGGGAGGAACACCAGUGGCGAAGGCGGCCUACUGGGCACCAACUGACGCUGAGGCUCGAAAGUGUGGGUAGCAAACAGGAUUAGAUACCCUGGUAGUCCACACUGUAAACGAUGAUUACUAGGUGUUGGAGGAUUGACCCCUUCAGUGCCGCAGUUAACACAAUAAGUAAUCCACCUGGGGAGUACGACCGCAAGGUUGAAACUCAAAGGAAUUGACGGGGGCCCGCACAAGCAGUGGAGUAUGUGGUUUAAUUCGACGCAACGCGAAGAACCUUACCAAGUCUUGACAUCCUGCGACGCACAUAGAAAUAUGUGUUUCCUUCGGGACGCAGAGACAGGUGGUGCAUGGUUGUCGUCAGCUCGUGUCGUGAGAUGUUGGGUUAAGUCCCGCAACGAGCGCAACCCUUAUGGUCAGUUACUACGCAAGAGGACUCUGGCCAGACUGCCGUUGACAAAACGGAGGAAGGUGGGGAUGACGUCAAAUCAUCAUGCCCUUUAUGACUUGGGCUACACACGUACUACAAUGGCGUUAAACAAAGAGAAGCAAGACCGCGAGGUGGAGCAAAACUCAGAAACAACGUCCCAGUUCGGACUGCAGGCUGCAACUCGCCUGCACGAAGUCGGAAUUGCUAGUAAUCGCAGAUCAGCAUGCUGCGGUGAAUACGUUCCCG
Molecule: ribosomal RNA, 995 nt
Filed under: uncultured bacterium
Lineage: Bacteria
Description: bacterial SSU rRNA
Rfam family: Bacterial small subunit ribosomal RNA
Source: RNAcentral